GCCUUCGUGGCUUAGUCGGGAUAUCACACGACUAUGUUGUGGUAGAAUUCGGGUUCGAGCCCCGGUGAUGACG
Non-coding RNA from Henosepilachna vigintioctopunctata, 73 nucleotides. NCBI's taxonomy places the organism in Eukaryota, Metazoa, Arthropoda, Insecta, Coleoptera, Coccinellidae. The record is from the annotation of a GenBank genome assembly.